AGCUCGUGUCGUGAGAUGUUGGGUUAAGUCCCGCAACGAGCGCAACCCUCGUCCUUAGUUGCCAUCAUUAAGUUGGGCACUUUAAGGAAACUGCCGGUGAUAAGCCGGAGGAAGGUGGGGAUGACGUCAAGUCCUCAUGGCCCUUACAGGCUGGGCUACACACGUGCUACAAUGGCAUCUACAGUGGGCAGCUACUCCGCAAGGAUGCGCUAAUCUCCAAAAGAUGUCUCAGUUCGGAUUGUCCUCUGCAACUCGAGGGCAUGAAGGCGGAAUCGCUAGUAAUCGCGGAUCAGCAUGCCGCGGUGAAUACGUUCCCAGGCCUU
Molecule: ribosomal RNA, 323 nt
Filed under: uncultured Porphyrobacter sp.
Lineage: Bacteria; Pseudomonadati; Pseudomonadota; Alphaproteobacteria; Sphingomonadales; Erythrobacteraceae
Description: bacterial SSU rRNA
Rfam family: Bacterial small subunit ribosomal RNA
Source: RNAcentral